AAAUCUGAAAUGAGUACUCAGGGCCUUUGGCAAGACCCUUUGUUUGAAUUUUUGGAAACCUCUGCUUAGGCAGGGGUUA
RNAcentral lists this small nuclear RNA (79 nucleotides) under Ancylostoma ceylanicum. Its description in RNAcentral is "SmY spliceosomal RNA". It matches the Rfam family "SmY spliceosomal RNA". The record is from Rfam by way of RNAcentral. Lineage: Eukaryota; Metazoa; Nematoda; Chromadorea; Rhabditida; Ancylostomatidae.